UUGACGUUAGCGGCGGACGGGUGAGUAACACGUGGGUAACCUACCUAUAAGACUGGAAUAACUCCGGGAAACCGGGGCUAAUGCCGGAUAACAUAUAGAACCGCAUGGUUCUAUAGUGAAAGAUGGUUUUGCUAUCACUUAUAGAUGGACCCGCGCCGUAUUAGCUAGUUGGUAAGGUAAUGGCUUACCAAGGCGACGAUACGUAGCCGACCUGAGAGGGUGAUCGGCCACACUGGAACUGAGACACGGUCCAGACUCCUACGGGAGGCGGCAGUAGGGAAUCUUCCGCAAUGGGCGAAAGCCUGACGGAGCAACGCCGCGUGAGUGAUGAAGGGUUUCGGCUCGUAAAACUCUGUUAUUAGGGAAGAACAUAUGUGUAAGUAACUGUGCACAUCUUGACGGUACCUAAUCAGAAAGCCACGGCUAACUACGUGCCAGCAGCCGCGGUAAUACGUAGGUGGCAAGCGUUAUCCGGAAUUAUUGGGCGUAAAGCGCGCGUAGGCGGUUUCUUAAGUCUGAUGUGAAAGCCCACGGCUCAACCGUGGAGGGUCAUUGGAAACUGGGAAACUUGAGUGCAGAAGAGGAAAGUGGAAUUCCAUGUGUAGCGGUGAAAUGCGCAGAGAUAUGGAGGAACACCAGUGGCGAAGGCGACUUUCUGGUCUGUAACUGACGCUGAUGUGCGAAAGCGUGGGGAUCA
RNAcentral lists this ribosomal RNA (697 nucleotides) under Staphylococcus gallinarum. Its description in RNAcentral is "bacterial SSU rRNA". It matches the Rfam family "Bacterial small subunit ribosomal RNA", at positions 86 to 770 of the family's 1533-position model. Lineage: Bacteria; Bacillati; Bacillota; Bacilli; Caryophanales; Staphylococcaceae. The record is from RNAcentral.